GACGAACGCUGGCGGCGUGCUUAACACAUGCAAGUCGAACGGAGCACCCCUGAAAGAGUUUUCGGACAAUGGAAGGGAAUGCUUAGUGGCGGACUGGUGAGUAACGCGUGAGGAACCUGCCUUCCAGAGGGGGACAACAGUUGGAAACGACUGCUAAUACCGCAUGAUGUGUUUCGAUGGCAUCAUCGAGACACCAAAGAUUUAUCGCUGGAAGAUGGCCUCGCGUCUGAUUAGCUAGUAGGCGGGGUAACGGCCCACCUAGGCGACGAUCAGUAGCCGGACUGAGAGGUUGACCGGCCACAUUGGGACUGAGAUACGGCCCAG
RNAcentral lists this ribosomal RNA (324 nucleotides) under uncultured bacterium. RNAcentral describes it as "bacterial SSU rRNA". It matches the Rfam family "Bacterial small subunit ribosomal RNA", at positions 28 to 334 of the family's 1533-position model. The record is from RNAcentral.